Strongylocentrotus purpuratus (purple sea urchin) is the source of this 91-nucleotide small nucleolar RNA. RefSeq annotates it as small nucleolar RNA R38. NCBI's taxonomy places the organism in Eukaryota, Metazoa, Echinodermata, Echinoidea, Camarodonta, Strongylocentrotidae. The record is from RefSeq and is a predicted model, not a curated record. The transcript has a single exon.
CCUUGCCAGUGAUGCUUUAGUUAUCCCUGUCUGAAACCCAAGUACUACCGUACUUGGAUGUGAGGAUAUAUUGUACUUUUCUGAGGCAAAG